Molecule: long non-coding RNA, 716 nt
Organism: Populus nigra (black poplar)
Lineage: Eukaryota; Viridiplantae; Streptophyta; Magnoliopsida; Malpighiales; Salicaceae
Exons: 2
Source: RefSeq, a predicted model, not a curated record
UGUUGAGAUAAAUAUUAACAACAAUCGGCUGUUCAACGCCACUCUUUGAAACUUUCAGCCAAAUUUUUUAUCCUCUACUUGCAAUCUCAAGCACCUGAAACAAUUGGGGACUGGACUUUCCGUCAUUUUUAUUCACAUUAUUGUUCUGAUAGAAUUGUAAUUCCCAUGAUACAUGGAAGAUUUUUCAGAGAAUAUACAUUUGCAAGCAUUGAAUCGUGUUCCUUCUUUAAUACUUGUAUUCCAAGAAGUUGAAGAAUUGUGUUCAGAUUUGGCUCAGCUUUAGAUUUACUUGUCAUUAAUUUGCAGGCUGCCAAAGAUCUAAUUGCUCCAGCCCGGGGAAUUCCUCGUGAAGAUAUAUAUCAAGGAAAAUCCAAAUUGUUUGCUCAUCGUGACACCCAAAGGUGGCCGUCUAGGGUGGGUUGCUGCCUUGCUGGUGCUGAAGCGUCUGGGGUGGGUUGCUGCCUUGCUGGUGCUGAAGCUCCACUUGGCCCUACUUGGACUGCUACCGUAGUGAUGGAUAUCCUAGAGAAUCUGCCUAGUCAGUGACAAUAAUGGUCUCCGAUAGCGAUAAUUUUUUUAACAUAAAAAGAUAUUCCUGCAUUAUUAACGUGUUUUUAUUAAAAUAAUAAUAAUUAUAAACUCAAAAUAUAAUAUAUAUUAGAUGAUAUUACUUUUAAAUAUUAAUAUGAUAAUAUAUUAGAUGAUUUUUAAGACAA